RNAcentral lists this ribosomal RNA (253 nucleotides) under uncultured bacterium. Its description in RNAcentral is "partial 16S ribosomal RNA". It matches the Rfam family "Bacterial small subunit ribosomal RNA", at positions 524 to 776 of the family's 1533-position model. The record is from RNAcentral.
UACGUAGGCAGCAAGCGUUGUUCGGAGUUACUGGGCGUAAAGGGUGUGUAGGCGGUUGUUUAAGUUUGGUGUGAAAUCUCCCGGCUCAACCGGGAGGGUGCGCCGAAUACUGAGUGACUAGAGUGCGGGAGAGGAAAGUGGAAUUUCCGGUGUAGCGGUGAAAUGCGUAGAUAUCGGAAGGAACAUCAGUGGCGAAAGCGGCUUCCUGGUCCAGCACCGACGUUCAGGCACGAAAGCGUGGGGAGCAAACAGG